UUUGUUGUGUAUCGAAACGAA
Non-coding RNA from Caenorhabditis elegans, 21 nucleotides. The record is from Ensembl. NCBI's taxonomy places the organism in Eukaryota, Metazoa, Nematoda, Chromadorea, Rhabditida, Rhabditidae.